GGGCCUAUAGCUCAGUUGGUUAGAGCACCUGACUCAUAAUCAGUAGGUCGUAGUUUCGAGUCCUACUGGGCCCACCA
This 77-nucleotide transfer RNA is filed under the name Francisella tularensis subsp. holarctica. RNAcentral describes it as "tRNA-Ile". It matches the Rfam family "tRNA". From Rfam's summary of the family: Transfer RNA (tRNA) molecules are approximately 80 nucleotides in length. Their secondary structure includes four short double-helical elements and three loops (D, anti-codon, and T loops). Further hydrogen bonds mediate the characteristic L-shaped molecular structure. tRNAs have two regions of fundamental functional importance: the anti-codon, which is responsible for specific mRNA codon recognition, and the 3' end, to which the tRNAs corresponding amino acid is attached (by aminoacyl-tRNA synthetases). tRNAs cope with the degeneracy of the genetic code in two manners: having more than one tRNA (with a specific anti-codon) for a particular amino acid; and 'wobble' base-pairing, i.e. permitting non-standard base-pairing at the 3rd anti-codon position. Lineage: Bacteria; Pseudomonadati; Pseudomonadota; Gammaproteobacteria; Thiotrichales; Francisellaceae. The record is from RNAcentral.